GAGCUGUGUAUGCUUCUUUCUACUUGGCUAAGUACUGACAAGAUAUAUGGUGCCACGACAAGGAUGUCGUGGCAGCGAACCUGAGACAUGGAUGUCGAAUGUUCGCGUGCCAUAUAGAUUGACAGUACGUGCCCUAGUAGAAAAGCAUAUGCAGCGU
Molecule: regulatory RNA element, 157 nt
Organism: Firmicutes bacterium CAG:194
Lineage: Bacteria; Bacillati; Bacillota
Source: Rfam